This 468-nucleotide ribosomal RNA is filed under the name uncultured bacterium. RNAcentral's name for it is "partial 16S ribosomal RNA". It matches the Rfam family "Bacterial small subunit ribosomal RNA", at positions 28 to 507 of the family's 1533-position model. The record is from RNAcentral.
GACGAACGCUGGCGGCGUGCUUAACACAUGCCAGUCGAACGGAAAGGCCCUGCUUUUGUGGGGUGCUCGAGUGGCGAACGGGUGAGUAACACGUGAGUAACCUGCUCUUGACUUUGGGAUAACUUCAGGAAACUGGGGCUAAUACCGGAUAGGAGCUCCUGCUGCAUGGUGGGGGUUGGAAAGUUUCGGCGGUUGGGGAUGGACUCGCGGCUUAUCAGCUUGUUGGUGGGGUAGUGGCUUACCAAGGCUUUGACGGGUAGCCGGCCUGAGAGGGUGACCGGCCACAUUGGGACUGAGAUACGGCCCAGACUCCUACGGGAGGCAGCAGUGGGGAAUAUUGCACAAUGGGCGGAAGCCUGAUGCAGCAACGCCGCGUGCGGGAUGACGGCCUUCGGGUUGUAAACCGCUUUCGCCUGUGACGAAGCGUGAGUGACGGUAAUGGGUAAAGAAGCACCGGCUAACUACGUG